GAACUCGUAGCUCAGUUGGUUAGAGCGCUACAUUGACAUUGUAGAGGUCAGAGGUUCGAGUCCUCUCGAGUUCA
RNAcentral lists this transfer RNA (74 nucleotides) under Minisyncoccota bacterium. Its description in RNAcentral is "tRNA-Val". It matches the Rfam family "tRNA". Rfam says of the family: Transfer RNA (tRNA) molecules are approximately 80 nucleotides in length. Their secondary structure includes four short double-helical elements and three loops (D, anti-codon, and T loops). RNAcentral also lists the same sequence under 1 other name. Lineage: Bacteria; Bacillati; Minisyncoccota. The record is from RNAcentral.